This 3110-nucleotide long non-coding RNA is filed under the name Carica papaya (papaya). RNAcentral describes it as "long non-coding RNA (CPAP_LNC006770)". Lineage: Eukaryota; Viridiplantae; Streptophyta; Magnoliopsida; Brassicales; Caricaceae. The record is from RNAcentral.
GGAUUUAUUAUCCGAGCUCGUGCCAAAGGCUUUUAAAAGACCUUCAAUUUGCUCGUCCAAACUUGGAUUACUCAGAAAAUAGAAUUUGAAUCUCAAGAAUCUGCAAGAAUAGGUCCAAGAAAGCAAGAAGAGCCCCGACCAUAUCUGGUUCUAGUUUAGGAAGAGAAUAGAGAUGCAGUCCCGCUCACCCAUGCGGGAACUGCACUAAACUAGGAAAAACUGAGUUGGGAUUCUCUUGAGGAGGCUUGAAGCCCUCUCCAUGAACUCCAACUAACAUGCAAAAUAAAAACAAAAAAGAGAUUGAAAAUACAGCUAUAAACAAAGAAGGAUUCUCCUUACUACAAGCCAUCUUCUAGUUUUCUAAAGUUGUUUCCCCAAAUUUGCAACAAGAAGAAAAGUCUGCAUGGCUACGCAAUAAGAAGAUGAAGAGAGGAAGAAUGUCGAAGAUGAGUAGAAAAAGCAAACUAAAAAGAGAGAAGAUGAAGAAGAUCAUACAACAUUGGAGAGUGAGUGGUCCAAAUGAGGUAAAGUCUUACUUGAUUUCUAAAUUCCCAAAUUGUUUACAACUUUGGAAGAAGUAAUAUGUCCAUCCACUACCUCCACAAAGAAUUAAAUAAUAAAGAGAUUAGAAGAUGAAGCCAUUUAGAAUACAAGUGUCAAAGGGAAAAGGGAGUCUAAGUCUAUCAAAGAAUAGGAGUCUAGCAAAGUUAAUUCCAGAAUUUUUUAUAUUGUAAUUUUCUUUUAGUUUUUGAGUUUUAGUUAAAUCAAAUUUCAGUAUUUUAUUGAGAUUAAAACUAAGAACUAUAUUUAGGAAUCUUAUUUCCUGAUUUGAGUCAAAUAAAGAUGGUCAACUCUAUAAAUAGAGGCCACCACUCCUUCUUGUAGAGACAAUUCAAACUUCAAUAAUAUUCAGAUUAUCUUGCUUUACUUUCAAACUUCCAAGAGUGAGUUCAGUGAACGUGUCUUCGACCGACUUGUUGAGCAAUGAAUUGAGAUCACUUAUCGAGAUAAGUCUCGUAGUGCCUUUUCAAUUCCAAAUUUUCUCAUUUCCCUUUAAAAUUAGUUUUUACUCCCUUAUUGAGUGCAAGUCAAGUAGAGAGGGUUUACUUAGAGUUUUGAAUUUCUAGUUACUGAUGUACAUGCAGAGUUUUAGAUUACAUUGUUGAUCCCGGGUUCCGCUUCACUAUCUCAUAGAUAAUUUUGGAUUAUGUGGCAUUCAUCUUUAGAUGAAAUUUUAAGGUCUAAGUGUCAGUGUCUUAAUUAUAUCGUAACUGUGAUCUUGAUUUAUGAAUCAUAUUGUAUUGUAUCAUAUUAUAUCGUAGCGUGUUAGAGAAAUUGUGUGGAAUAUGAUUUGUGCCUAAAUUUUAUGAUAUGUUGGAAAAUGUGAAAAAUUAAUUUGAAAUAAAUAUGGAAAGAUAGUAAUGGAGUUCGACUAAUUUAGGUUGACACAUUAACUUAAUUAUAUAAGAAAUUGAGAGUACUAAACAAAAAGGGACAUUUGUGUUGAGAUAAGUUAAUCUAAUUUUGUGAGAUAUAAACAGUUUUCAACAAUGAAAUUUUUUAUAUAAAAAAAUAUGGUUAAUUGGUAGGUAAUUAAGAUAAAUGUAAGGGACUUAUAUGUAUUUUUAUUCAGUUCGGUAAAUUGAGAUUUUUAAUUUCUCUUACCGAACAGGUGUAACUCAUAACAAUCUAUCAUUUUAGAAGAAGAUAACCAAGAGCUGACUCAAGAACAACAAGAACAGUCAGUAAAUUGGAGUUUUACUCUCUGUGUGACAUUAUUAAAUAACAUUGUCACUCAAGGAGACAGAGAUCCAACUGAUGAACUUAUGUGAUGAAUUUUAUUAGCCGUAUAAAUUUUACAAAUAGUUAAGAGAAAUGAAAACUCAUGAUUUUAUCAAACAAUUCAUAUAUAUGCACAUUUCAAACAUGAAAUUCACAAUAUGAAUUAUCAAGGGAUUAAAUCCAUUCAAUUAAUUUUAUCAACAAAAAAAAAAAAAAAUUCCAUCCAGCUAAUUUUGUUUUAAAAUGUAAAACCCGCAUGAUCUUUUUCUCAAGGCAAGCUAUAAAAUAUAUGUGCAUGACAUUAAUUGAUAUCAAAUUAUAUUUGUAUUGGAGCGUCGGCAAAUCAUUCAUUUUCCAUUUUGGUUUUUUUUUUUUUUUUUUUUUUGAAAUUACAUGAGGGUUAUAUAUAUUACAUAGCUAGUCAAUUAGGACAUCAAAAUGUAGUUGGUCCAAUUUGGUCACUACAUAUAUUCGAUAUUUGGUGCUUGUCAUAUAGUUUUUAACUGUAUAUAUUAAAUGUUUGGUGUAGUUUCUGCCAACAAAUCCAUAUCUUAUUGUUAAGAUUUUCCACUUUCUAUUCUUAAGAUUCUAGUGUCAUUUCCCAUACUUUAUCUCUUUCUAUUUAAAUAAUAUUAAUAAUAAAACCAAAGUAAAUAAUUUGACAACAAUAAUGAAUCUUUAUUUAAAAUUAUUUUUUUUUACGAUUUUUGUUGUGAGAAAGGUUUAUUUACUAUUUUAAAAACUUAAAAUUAAGUUAUUAAAUGGUAAAGUAUAUUUUUAUUUAAAUUUAUUGUGAGUUUGAAAACUAGAAGUUAUCAAGUUCAGCCGUAGAUAAUUGAAGUAUGAUUUUAUUUUUAUUUAGGUUUAAUAUUUUUAUUUUUAUAAUUCAGUCAUAAAUUACGUUAUAAUUUAACAUAAAUUAUUUCUUUCCGUGAUUCAUUCGAGUAUUUAAUUAUUUUGAUAUAAAACUAGUUAAUUAUUUUUUGUAAAAUUAUCUGUAUUUUAAUAUUCAAUUGAACUUUUGCAAUGUUAAUUAAUGAUUUUAUCACAACCUUAAAUAAAAAUAUAUAUAUAUAUAUAUACAGCCAGAGACAGCUUCGCCACAUCCUGCAGCAUUAGGCGAGGUUACUCACUCUGUUCGUAUGUUUUCGUACAGUGCUUGAAAGACAGACUUCGCCACCUGAUUGAAAGCGGAAUCACUAAGGGGGAGUGGAUGCCUCUCAAAAUGGGUCCAUGGUGUCCCUCUCUCCCAUCUCUUCUCCAUGGAUGGUCUUUUUUUUUUUAUUUUAUUCCGGAGGCUUCAGUUGAGCAAAUUUUGGCUAUCAAGA